RNAcentral lists this ribosomal RNA (492 nucleotides) under uncultured bacterium. RNAcentral's name for it is "partial 16S ribosomal RNA". It matches the Rfam family "Bacterial small subunit ribosomal RNA", at positions 30 to 507 of the family's 1533-position model. The record is from RNAcentral.
AUUGAACGCUGGCGGCAUGCUUUACACAUGCAAGUCGAACGGUAACAGGCCUUCGGGUGCUGACGAGUGGCGAACGGGUGAGUAAUGCAUCGGAACGUACCCAGAGGUGGGGGAUAACGCAGCGAAAGCUGUGCUAAUACCGCAUCUGAUCUGAGGAUGAAAGCGGGGGACCGAGCAGCAAUGUUUGGCCUCGCGCCUUUGGAGCGGCCGAUGUCGGAUUAGCUAGUUGGUGGGGUAAAGGCCUACCAAGGCGACGAUCCGUAGCUGGUCUGAGAGGACGACCAGCCACACUGGGACUGAGACACGGCCCAGACUCCUACGGGAGGCAGCAAUGGGGAAUUUUGGACAAUGGGCGCAAGCCUGAUCCAGCAAUGCCGCGUGCGGGAAGAAGGCCUUCGGGUUGUAAACCGCUUUUGGCAGGAACGAAACGGUGUCCGCUAAUACCGGGCGCUAAUGACGGUACCUGCAGAAUAAGCACCGGCUAACUACGUG